CACCUGGUUUGACCUCUCCUUUGGCCCCCAGCACAGCAGUGAAUCCUACAUCAGAUUUGACUGUUAGUCCUACCUUGACAACUGACACCCCAAAGAGUCCAACUGAAAGAGGUCAAAGCUCCACAGAAAGCAUUGUGAAUUCAAACAGUC
Salmo salar (Atlantic salmon) is the source of this 150-nucleotide non-coding RNA. The record is from RefSeq and is a predicted model, not a curated record. Lineage: Eukaryota; Metazoa; Chordata; Actinopteri; Salmoniformes; Salmonidae.